RNAcentral lists this transfer RNA (67 nucleotides) under Xenorhina sp. TNHC-GDC 31177. Its description in RNAcentral is "tRNA-Tyr". It matches the Rfam family "tRNA". From Rfam's summary of the family: Transfer RNA (tRNA) molecules are approximately 80 nucleotides in length. Their secondary structure includes four short double-helical elements and three loops (D, anti-codon, and T loops). The record is from RNAcentral. Lineage: Eukaryota; Metazoa; Chordata; Amphibia; Anura; Microhylidae.
GGUAAAGUAGCCGAGUAGGCGGUGGGUUGUAGCCCCAAAGACGAGGGUUUAAGUCCUUCCCUUACCA